Long non-coding RNA from Perognathus longimembris pacificus (Pacific pocket mouse), 392 nucleotides. RefSeq lists it as uncharacterized. The record is from RefSeq and is a predicted model, not a curated record. NCBI's taxonomy places the organism in Eukaryota, Metazoa, Chordata, Mammalia, Rodentia, Heteromyidae. The transcript has 2 exons.
CCACUUGAGCCACAGUGCCACUUCUGCCUUCAGGAGGGUUGUGCGGAGAAAUACAAAAGGUGAUAAAUACCAGAAAGUAAAGAUCAUUUGAGGACCAUUUUAGAGGCUGAUUACCAAACUCCUCACAUUGGAUAUAAUUGUUGGUUAUCUGACUACCAAAUUCCUCCCCCUGAUGGACAUCAUCAUUGGUGGUAUCUAGCCAAACCAAAUUUGAGUUAUCUGUUGUUUAGGUUUACAUAGCUAAUGGAGAUGAGUUUGAAAGGAAAACAAGAAGUCCUAUUAUUUUCAUGUUUGUUGUGCAUCAGAUCAUCACCAUCAUUUGGAGGUAGUACCGCUGUCCACAACUUACCAUAUUUCCUCAAAUAAGAGGAAGAUAUUUAGCAAGAGUACUU